AAAAGAAAUAUAACAAAAAGAGAAUUUUUUACUAGAAAAAUUACAUCCAAUGUAUUUCGGUUCUUCCCACGAUCAGACUACCAUAUUUAUCCUGAUCAUAUUGAAAUUUCGUAGAUAUUUAGAAUAUUCAUUGUUCUUUAUUUUGAAUGGUGGACGUCGAUUUUCGACGGUUGAAUUUCCAGUAUUUUCACUUCGAAGUUACUGUUCACAUUGUUUUCUCUACACCGACCAAUUUGACUUUCUUCGAUGAUCGAAUGGUCAUUUGUAGUCUGAUGAGGUUGAAAUUCGGUGAGCAUGUUUUAGAUAAGUUGGUCUUUGAUGUGAGCAAUGGAGGUUGGAUUUAAACAAUCAAAACGCAUCUGUUUUACAUGAACAGUAGCUGAUUUGGUGAUAUUUCUCAAUUUCCUUGUUUAUCUCUUAUUGUUUGAUUGAUUUGUUAUU
This 441-nucleotide long non-coding RNA is filed under the name Carica papaya (papaya). RNAcentral describes it as "long non-coding RNA (CPAP_LNC007227)". The record is from RNAcentral. Lineage: Eukaryota; Viridiplantae; Streptophyta; Magnoliopsida; Brassicales; Caricaceae.